CUGCGCAGGCCGCCUAGGCGGCUGGCUGAUCAGAGUGGCCCCGGAAACUUGGACAGUUUUGAGUCUACGCGCGAGUGAACUAGGUGCAGCGGUGACCCAGCUGAAGACGUUUGGAAACAUUCUGGCGCCGAGCGCUGGGCGCGGAGUAGGAUGUGUGGAUCUGGGCAGGCGAAGGCUGUGCUUUCCUAGAAUCUGGAUUGUAACGGGGAGGCAGGUUUCUGAGGAAUCGAGGUUCUUUGCCGGUAGAAAACGCUGCCCUUAUUGGAAGUUCCAGGCAGGCAAGAAGGAAUGCAGAGCAUUGUGUAUGCACGUGUAGACUCCACCCAGAGUAUUGUAGCUAUUGUACCGGUUCAUCUUGUUUCAUUCCAAAGCCCACAGUGGAAGGUUGCUAGGCGGGUACGUUAUUCCAGGUGCCACUCACUAGGUGUGCGACCACAGGAACGUGCACACCCUCUCUGCGUCUCAGUCUCUCACAUGCACAAUACAGAGCCUGUGCGAUGUGGUGGGCUAUCAUAUAAGGAAGGAGUGAAUUCCUACUGAGAACAGCAGUGCCUGCGCCACUCAGAGGACUCUAUUCACAUUACUGGAAGUGCUGCUGCAUCCUGAGGGCUUGCCAGGUUCUGUAUCAGAAUCAAGUGGCCAUGCCACUGGAAACCACAGGGCAGACUGGUUCAAGGUGCAUUGAGAAACACCAGGAUACACCAGCCUGAGCUGUGAGAGUCACAAGAACUUCUUGGGAAAGGUAUGUACCAGUGUU
Mus musculus (house mouse) is the source of this 757-nucleotide long non-coding RNA. RefSeq annotates it as predicted gene, 35347. The transcript has 3 exons. NCBI's taxonomy places the organism in Eukaryota, Metazoa, Chordata, Mammalia, Rodentia, Muridae. The record is from RefSeq and is a predicted model, not a curated record.